AAGCCCCCCCAGGCUGCAGCUUCUAACUGUAGCAGAGUAUCUAAAAUACUGGGACUUU
This 58-nucleotide transfer RNA is filed under the name Aleyrodidae sp. JXCHN01. RNAcentral describes it as "tRNA-Ser". The record is from RNAcentral. Lineage: Eukaryota; Metazoa; Arthropoda; Insecta; Hemiptera; Aleyrodidae.